GAUGAACGCUGGCGGCGUGCCUAAUACAUGCCAGUCGAGCGAACAGACGAGGAGCUUGCUCCUCUGACGUUAGCGGCGGACGGGUGAGUAACACGUGGAUAACCUACCUAUAAGACUGGGAUAACUUCGGGAAACCGGAGCUAAUACCGGAUAAUAUAUUGAACCGCAUGGUUCAAUAGUGAAAGACGGUUUUGCUGUCACUUAUAGAUGGAUCCGCGCCGCAUUAGCUAGUUGGUAAGGUAACGGCUUACCAAGGCAACGAUGCGUAGCCGACCUGAGAGGGUGAUCGGCCACACUGGAACUGAGACACGGUCCAGGCUCCUACGGGAGGCAGCAGUAGGGAAUCUUCCGCAAUGGGCGAAAGCCUGACGGAGCAACGCCGCGUGAGUGAUGAAGGUCUUCGGAUCGUAAAACUCUGUUAUUAGGGAAGAACAAAUGUGUAAGUAACUAUGCACGUCUUGACGGUACCUAAUCAGAAAGCCACGGCUAACUACGUG
RNAcentral lists this ribosomal RNA (497 nucleotides) under uncultured bacterium. RNAcentral's name for it is "partial 16S ribosomal RNA". It matches the Rfam family "Bacterial small subunit ribosomal RNA", at positions 28 to 507 of the family's 1533-position model. The record is from RNAcentral.